Molecule: ribosomal RNA, 500 nt
Filed under: uncultured bacterium
Lineage: Bacteria
Description: bacterial SSU rRNA
Rfam family: Bacterial small subunit ribosomal RNA
Source: RNAcentral
CAGAACGAACGCUGGCGGCGCGUUUAAGCAUGCAAGUCGAGCGGCAGCAGCAAUGCGAGAGCGGCGGACGGGUGAGUAACACGUGGGUAAUCUGCCCUCCGGUCGGGAAUAGCCUGUGGAAACACAGGAUAAUACCGGAUGCGAUGGGUCCUCACACGAAGUGGGGGGUCAGGAAAGGAGCCAAGGCUCCGCCGGAGGAUGAGCCCGCGUCCCAUUAGCUUGAUGGUGAGGUAAAGGCCCACCAUGGCGAUGAUGGGUAGCCGGCCUGAGAGGGUGAACGGCCACAUUGGAACUGAGACACGGUCCAGACUCCUACGGGAGGCAGCAGCUAAGAAUCUUCCACAAUGGACGAAAGUCUGAUGGAGCGACGCCGCGUGGGCGAAUGAAGGCCGUGAGGUUGUAAAGCCCUUUUCUUGAGGGGGAAUAACGCAGGCAGGGAAUGGCCUGCGGAUGACGUGAAUCAAGGAAUAAGCCCCGGCUAACUACGUGCCAGCCGCAGC